GCUGCUACAUAGAGUGCUCUAGUGACAUCCAGAAAAUGAACUGGCUAUCAGCAGAGCCAAUGGAAUUUGGGAUGCUGGAGGAUAUCAAUAAGCAUCUCAUCACUGUAGGAGCAGGGAGUAUGGUAGUGUUCCAGGAAAACCAAGCUGAGAUUUCCAUGAGCUGUGAAGAUGAAGAAUUACAGCACAUUGAAACAUUUAAAUUUUAAAACAUACUUUUUAAUGGAGAAACUGAGACCGAGAGCUUGAGAGAUGACCAAGAUCACCAAGAGCUGGAUUGUAACAAUCCAUCCCAAGCAAGCGGAAGUAGGGGACCGCACUUCUCCAGUGGCAAGGCAGAUACCAGGGUCUGCCCUUGGGUGCAGCUCUCUUGCUCCAGGUGAGGAGUCUGCUACGCUAACCUUCUUUCCUGGCACAGUUCACUUCCCUCCACCUGAACUGGCUUCAGCUGUUCCUGCCCACCUAAUCCGGAGUAGCAGCAGCAGCCUGGCAGUAGGUCCUCUCUCCCAUAUGUUAGCUCCGGUGAUGUGGGUUGGCACCACAGGAGACUAAGGGCUUGUUUUCACUACAGGGGUGAAUAAUGUAGCUGGAGUUGAUGUAGCUUAGGUUAACUUAGCCCGGUGUCUUUACUGUGCUGAGUCAAUGGGAGACACUCUCUGGUUGACUACCUUACUCUUCUCGGGAGCUGGAGUACCAGGGUCAACCGGCAAGUUCUCUGCCAUCAAUUUAGCAGGUCUGACACGCUAAAUCGACACCCGCUGCAUCAAUAGCAGCAGCGUUGAUCUCCUCAGUAGUGAAGACCAGCCCUAAGUGGGCUCCUUACACUCCUUUACUUUGCUGCACAGCUGUGCAAGAGGACUCAUGACUGAACCCUAUGUGAAUCUUCGUGAGAAAUGGGAGUAGGACUCGAGAUCCUGGAUCCCAGAUCUGUGCUAAG
Molecule: long non-coding RNA, 934 nt
Organism: Mauremys reevesii (Reeves's turtle)
Lineage: Eukaryota; Metazoa; Chordata; Testudines; Geoemydidae
Exons: 3
Source: RefSeq, a predicted model, not a curated record